CCAAUAGCGUAUAUUAAAGUUGUUGCAGUUAAAAAGCUCGUAGUUGAAUUUCGGGAUCAAGUCGUCGGUCGUGCCUCGGUACGCACUGGUGACAUUGGUUUCUCCCUUCUGAAGAACCUUGAUGUCAUUAAUUUGGUGUCUUGGGGAAUCAGGACUGUUACUUUGAAAAAAUUAGAGUGUUUAAAGCAGGCUCACGCUUGAAUACAUUAGCAUGGAAUAAUGAAAUAGGACGUUUGAUUCUAUUUUGUUGGUUUCUAGGAUCGACGUAAUGAUUAAUAGGGAUAGUUGGGGGCAUUAGUAUUCAAUUGUCAGAGGUGAAAUUCUUGGAUUUAUUGAAGACUAACUACUGCGAAAGCAGUUGCCAAGGAUGUUUUCAUUAAUCAAGAACGAAAGUUAGGGGAUCGAAGACGAUCAGAUACCGUCGUAGUCUUAACCAUAAACUAUGUCGACUAGGGAUCGGAUGAUGUUAAUUUUUUAAUGACUCAUUCGGCGCCUUAC
Molecule: unclassified non-coding RNA, 498 nt
Filed under: uncultured Glomus
Lineage: Eukaryota; Fungi; Glomeromycota; Glomeromycetes; Glomerales; Glomeraceae
Description: SSU rRNA
Rfam family: Eukaryotic small subunit ribosomal RNA
Source: RNAcentral